AUGGAGGCCCACUUCAGCUCCUGCUGGCAGCGUGGUGGCCGGCUGGGCCCUGGGAUCCACUGCUGGGAUCCGCAUCUCACAACUGAGGCUCUGGUCCUUCAUUGUGUGAAGAGUAAGAGGAAUGCCCUGGCCCUCAACUUUGAAAGACUUGUAAUGGAACCUCUAAGAAAACAUUACCCACCUGGACAAAUAAGAACCAUGCUGGAUGGUGCUGGAAGUUGUGGACAAGGUCACAGAGUGCCCUGCUGGAAGCAGUAUUUUGGAAAGGAUAAUCGGGAAGCAGUUAUAAUGAGUGGAGUAAGGGGAAGAAUGAAAGAAGAAUACCCAAUGCGUAGAAACCAACUUCUAUCAUGGAAGUUCAGCCCUGUCAAAUCCCCCUUGGAAUGGAUGGACAGACAAGUCAGCACACUUGAGCAGAGGAAGUUCCUUGCAAACGUCAGCAGAGAAGCUAAGGUAUAGACUUGGAGUAACCUCUCACUCUGACCCCUGGUGACAAGACGGAUAGUUCCAUUCAUCUAUGG
Molecule: long non-coding RNA, 521 nt
Organism: Bos grunniens (domestic yak)
Lineage: Eukaryota; Metazoa; Chordata; Mammalia; Artiodactyla; Bovidae
Source: Ensembl